Molecule: long non-coding RNA, 782 nt
Organism: Ananas comosus (pineapple)
Lineage: Eukaryota; Viridiplantae; Streptophyta; Magnoliopsida; Poales; Bromeliaceae
Exons: 3
Source: RefSeq, a predicted model, not a curated record
UAUAUACCUCUUCGAUGCUACAUUGUAUUUUGCAUCUUGAUUUAUGAAAUCAGUGGUUUGUUUGCUAACUCUUCUGUGAUGUUUAUGUGGCUGGCAUAUUCUUGAGGAUUAUAUUUUUAUGUCUCUUGUGGAUUGUACUUUAGAGAAACUUGGAUAAAUAUUUGUCUAUAAUUCGCCAAAUGCUCUUUUGAAAUUAGAGAUUUCAUGCAGUAAAGUUUAAAACAUAAGUGCAAUAUGUUGAUAUGUUUAAACAUCAGUUAUUUUGUAAGAGAUAAUUUUCUGUUUGACAGGAUAGAGGAAGCGGAAGCACAAUGUGCAUUGCUAAAUUCGGCAUCCUUUUGUGAUGGGUGCUUCACUUCAGAUUCAGAUAUUUUCCUUUUCGGAGCAAGGACAGUAUAUAGAGAUAUUAUUCUAGGAGAGGGUGGAUAUGUUAUUUGUUAUGAGAUGGUAGAUGUAGAGCGCAAACUUGGGUUUGGAAGGAACUCACUGGUAAGGUGCCUUCUACAUCUUGUUGUAUGGAGCCACACACCCUUUCUUUGUUUUCUCUUACCAAUGAAGUUUUUGGCAAUUUUCCAUUUAUGUAAUAUUAUGUUAUUGAGAGUUUUGAAAUUACAAAGUUUCAAUUCUUAUAAUAUGUGAAGUGAAUUUGCAGCUUAGCCAUGAAACUAUCUAUUUGCAAACCUGCAAAUAACGGAAUAAGGUUUUGUAUGUCACUAUGACUUUAUGAGAUAUAUAUAUAUAUAUAUAUAUAUAUAUAUAUAUAUAUAUAUAUCUAUAUAUAU